Molecule: ribosomal RNA, 110 nt
Filed under: Erinaceus europaeus (western European hedgehog)
Lineage: Eukaryota; Metazoa; Chordata; Mammalia; Eulipotyphla; Erinaceidae
Source: RNAcentral
GUCUACGGCCAUACCACCCUGAACACACCCGAUCUCAUCUGAUCUCAGAAGAUAAGUAUUAAGGUCUUUAACAUAAGGCCUAGUGAAUCUCUUGGAAAUAUCUGUGAACA